GGUGCGCAAGGGUUGGUAAAAUUGUUGUUGCGGCGGCUAGGGCUUCUUGAAGGACAUCACAAGAAAAACCCUUAUUUCUUCGAAAGGGGUCGAUGCCAUCAACAAAUGCCGAGUCUCCCAAGUCUCCUGCUUCUUCGCCUUCACCACUCCCAACGCCACCACCUUCCCCCCUUCGGGGCUGGCUCUAACGGCUUUUCGGUGACUAAACUGGCAGAAAUCAGCAGUUUCUCGUUUUCAUCUACGAACAAAAAAUCCGAAGAAUGUAGAGGUAGGGAGGAAUGAAGCAGGUGAGGAAGAAGGUCCACAGGUGCGGGGCUUCAGUGAGGAAGAAAUGCGAGAGCAAAG
RNAcentral lists this long non-coding RNA (345 nucleotides) under Phaseolus vulgaris (common bean). RNAcentral describes it as "long non-coding RNA (PVUL_LNC002963)". The record is from RNAcentral. Lineage: Eukaryota; Viridiplantae; Streptophyta; Magnoliopsida; Fabales; Fabaceae.